Molecule: ribosomal RNA, 490 nt
Filed under: uncultured bacterium
Lineage: Bacteria
Description: partial 16S ribosomal RNA
Rfam family: Bacterial small subunit ribosomal RNA
Source: RNAcentral
AGUGAACGCUGGCGGCAGGCCUAACACAUGCAAGUCGAACGGCAGCACAAGAGAGCUUGCUCUCUGGGUGGCGAGUGGCGGACGGGUGAGGAAUGCAUCGGAAUCUGCCCAUUUGUGGGGGAUAACCUCGGGAAACCGGGACUAAUACCGCAUACGACCUACGGGUGAAAGCAGGGGAUCUUCGGACCUUGCGCAGAUGGAUGAGCCGAUGCCGGAUUAGCUAGUUGGAGAGGUAAAGGCCCACCAAGGCGACGAUCCGUAGCUGGUCUGAGAGGAUGAUCAGCCACACUGGGACUGAGACACGGCCCAGACUCCUACGGGAGGCAGCAGUGGGGAAUAUUGGACAAUGGGCGCAAGCCUGAUCCAGCCAUGCCGCGUGUGUGAAGAAGGCCUUCGGGUUGUAAAGCACUUUUGUUGGGAAAGAAAAGCAGCCGGUUAAUACCCGGUUGUCAUGACGGUACCCAAAGAAUAAGCACCGGCUAACUUCGUG